RNAcentral lists this long non-coding RNA (852 nucleotides) under Mus musculus (house mouse). RNAcentral's name for it is "predicted gene 7480". Lineage: Eukaryota; Metazoa; Chordata; Mammalia; Rodentia; Muridae. The record is from RNAcentral.
UCUUCUCUCUGACUCAAAAACCAAGGUCCACUGUUCCAGGGCUGGGACAGCAAGGCUGAAUAAUUUUUCCCAUGACCACCACCUUGGAUUUGAGCCAACCUGCACAGCCUAAAGGGAGAAGCACUGUAGCCCAGGAUCCGGAGCCCACUGGCUAAAACAUGGCGUUCUCUUCUCUAACCCAAAAGUAAAAGUAGAACGGGAGGCGGCAUUCGAGAUCAUGUGGGAGAAUCUGGGAGACCUGGCAUUCAUGGCAGCAUUCGGAUCAUGUGGGAGAAUCUGGGAGACCUGGCAUUCAUGGCAGCAUUCGGGAUCAUGUGGGAGAAUCUGGGAGACCUGGCAUUCAUGGCGGCAUUCGGGAUCAUGUGGGAGAAUCUGGGAGACCUGGCAUUCAUGGCGGCAUUCGGGAUCAUGUGGGAGAAACUGGGAGACCUGGCAUUCAUGGCGGCAUUCAGGAUCAUGUGGGAGAAUCUGGGAGACCUGGCAUUCAUGGCGGCAUUCAGGAUCAUGUGGGAGAAUCUGGGAGACCUGGCAUUCACAGCUUCUGUAAGAAGGCAAUUCAGCAUCUGAACCAAAACCCUUCCUUGGAAAUUUGUCCAAAGUCACUUGCCAGAGCUAUGACCACCAGUGAAUAUGACAACACUAAAGAAUAGUUUAAGGUACCACCAAAGAUUGUCAUAUAAAGGUCUACCAGAUGGCUAGGGGGUAAAGGUGCUUACCACAAGGAGUGAUGAGUUUGAGCCUCAGAACUUGCAUGGAGGAAGGAGAAAACAAACUACUGCAAGCUGUCCUCUGAACAACACACACACCACACACACACACAUAACAUAAAAACUAUUUUAUCAUGUGAUAUUU